Molecule: ribosomal RNA, 433 nt
Filed under: uncultured bacterium
Lineage: Bacteria
Description: partial 16S ribosomal RNA
Rfam family: Bacterial small subunit ribosomal RNA
Source: RNAcentral
AACGAACGCUGGCGGCAUGCCUAACACAUGCAAGUCGAACGAGACCUUCGGGUCUAGUGGCGCACGGGUGCGUAACGCGUGGGAACCUGCCCUUAGGUUCGGAAUAACUCCCCGAAAGGGGUGCUAAUACCGGAUAAUGUCUUCGGACCAAAGAUUUAUCGCCUUUGGAUGGGCCCGCGUUGGAUUAGCUAGUUGGUAGGGUAAAAGCCUACCAAGGCGACGAUCCAUAGCUGGUCUGAGAGGAUGAUCAGCCACACUGGGACUGAGACACGGCCCAGACUCCUACGGGAGGCAGCAGUGGGGAAUAUUGGAGAAUGGGCGAAAGCCUGAUCCAGCAAUGCCGCGUGAGUGAUGAAGGCCUUAGGGUUGUAAAGCUCUUUUACCCGGGAUGAUAAUGACAGUACCGGGAGAAUAAGCUCCGGCUAACUCCGUG